AAAGCCGUCCGGAAAAUGGCCGCCGCCGCCGCCGCCGCGCCGAGCGGAGGAGGAGGAGGAGGCGAGGAGGAGAGACUGCUCCAUAAAAAUACAGACUCACCAGUUCCUGCUUUGAUGUGACAUGUGACUCCCCAGAAUACACCUUGCUUCUGUAGACCAGCUCCAACAGGAUUCCAUGGUAGCUGGGAUGUUAGGGCUCAGUGGUUUCUGACACCUCAUUGUGAAGCUGUUGUAGACAUCCAUAAGAAAUAGCCUGCAUAGGGAUUAUGUGAGGGCAAGGUUUGGCUGAAGGAGAAUAGAAGGUGUGGAAGGAAGCGAAGACCAGAAGAGCAUCACACUGCCUCAAGUCCCAAAUUUGAUUCUGCUCCUGAUCCUGUGACUCAAAUUGUCAUUCUCUUUUACUGCUGUGGGGUGUGCUCUGGGCCUAGCUGACAGGACAUUCUUUGUACUCCACGUAUUUAUGCUGGUGGGAGUUGUAUGGCUAGUGCUUUGUGCUUUGUCUCAGAAAUUGUGUGGACUAAAUGUAAUAUGGGCAGUGAAUGGGUUUCUUCUGGAAGAUGUUAGGCCUGGAGGGUGGUUU
Molecule: small RNA, 580 nt
Filed under: Pongo abelii (Sumatran orangutan)
Lineage: Eukaryota; Metazoa; Chordata; Mammalia; Primates; Hominidae
Description: processed transcript
Source: RNAcentral